AAGUAUCUUCAGCACCCCUCAAUUCCCAUUAGUGCUCUAUCAAGUCAAGUUGGCGGGCAUUGUGCAUAUAUGACCUUUGAAGUGCAGUAUAUUGUUGAAUGAUCCUUUCAUUGUAACAUCCAUCCCUUUCUAAUGGCUCAUGUUGCACGGGCUCAUCAGUGGUGUCAUGAGCACAAUAUAUACGUGUUCUUGAAUUGUUCAUCGUGUCUGGCUCAUAUUCAUCAACGACUUCAUAAUCGUACUCAUCUUCCACAAUCAUGUUGUGAAGAAUGAUGCACGUCAUCAUGAUGGAUCGAAGCGACUCUACAUCAAACAAUCUGGUAGCACCCCUGAUGAUCGCCCAGCGAGCUUGAAGGAUACCGAAACAACGCUCCACAUCCUUCCUGCACCCCUCUUAACAUCUUGCAAAGUGUUUUUCCUUUGCACUUCGCGGACGUGGCACUGUUUUGAUAAAUGUUGACCACCUUGGGUAAAUGCCAUCAGUUAGGU
RNAcentral lists this long non-coding RNA (489 nucleotides) under Malus domestica (apple). Its description in RNAcentral is "long non-coding RNA (MDOM_LNC018029)". Lineage: Eukaryota; Viridiplantae; Streptophyta; Magnoliopsida; Rosales; Rosaceae. The record is from RNAcentral.